RNAcentral lists this ribosomal RNA (401 nucleotides) under uncultured bacterium. Its description in RNAcentral is "bacterial SSU rRNA". It matches the Rfam family "Bacterial small subunit ribosomal RNA", at positions 29 to 432 of the family's 1533-position model. The record is from RNAcentral.
UUGGACGCUGGCGGCAUGCUUUACACAUGCAAGUCGAACGGCAGCGGGGGCUUCGGCCUGCCGGCGAGUGGCGAACGGGUGAGUAAUGCAUCGGAACGUACCCAGUCGUGGGGGAUAACUACGCGAAAGCGUGGCUAAUACCGCAUACGCCCUGAGGGGGAAAGCGGGGGACCUUCGGGCCUCGCGCGAUUGGCGCGGCUGAUGUCGGAUUAGCUGGUUGGUGGGGUAAAGGCCUACCAAGGCGACGAUCCGUAGCUGGUCUGAGAGGAUGAGCAGCCACACUGGGACUGAGACACGGCCCAGACUCCUACGGGAGGCAGCAGUGGGGAAUUUUGGACAAUGGGCGCAAGCCUGAUCCAGCCAUGCCGCGUGAGUGAAGAAGGCCUUCGGGUUGUAAAGCU